Molecule: ribosomal RNA, 497 nt
Filed under: uncultured bacterium
Lineage: Bacteria
Description: partial 16S ribosomal RNA
Rfam family: Bacterial small subunit ribosomal RNA
Source: RNAcentral
GAUGAACGCUGGCGGCGUGCCUAAUACAUGCAAGUCGAGCGAACGGACGAGAAGCUUGCUUUUCUGAUGUUAGCGGCGGACGGGUGAGUAACACGUGGAUAACCUACCUAUAAGACUGGGAUAACUUCGGGAAACCGGAGCUAAUACCGGAUAAUAUUUUGAACCGCAUGGUUCUAAAGUGAAAGACGGUCUUGCUGUCACUUAUAGAUGGAUCCGCGCUGCAUUAGCUAGUUGGUAAGGUAACGGCUUACCAAGGCAACGAUGCAUAGCCGACCUGAGAGGGUGAUCGGCCACACUGGAACUGAGACACGGUCCAGACUCCUACGGGAGGCAGCAGUAGGGAAUCUUCCGCAAUGGGCGAAAGCCUGACGGAGCAACGCCGCGUGAGUGAUGAAGGUCUUCGGAUCGUAAAACUCUGUUAUUAGGGAAGAACAUAUGUGUAAGUAACUGUGCACAUCUUGACGGUACCUAAUCAGAAAGCCACGGCUAACUACGUG